Molecule: ribosomal RNA, 229 nt
Filed under: uncultured bacterium
Lineage: Bacteria
Description: partial 16S ribosomal RNA
Rfam family: Bacterial small subunit ribosomal RNA
Source: RNAcentral
UGCGUAGGCGGGAGAUUAAGUCAGUGGUGAAAUCCUACAGCUUAACUGUAGAACUGCCAUUGAUACUGGUUUUCUUGAGUAUAGUUGAAGUGGGCGGAAUGUGUAUUGUAGCGGUGAAAUGCUUAGAUAUUACACAGAACACCUAUUGCGAAGGCAGCUCACUAAACUAAUACUGACGCUGAGGCACGAAAGCGUGGGGAGCAAACAGGAUUAGAUACCCUGGUAGUCC